This 566-nucleotide ribosomal RNA is filed under the name uncultured Glomeromycotina. RNAcentral describes it as "SSU rRNA". It matches the Rfam family "Eukaryotic small subunit ribosomal RNA", at positions 548 to 1114 of the family's 1831-position model. The record is from RNAcentral. Lineage: Eukaryota; Fungi; Glomeromycota.
UUGGAGGGCAAGUCUGGUGCCAGCAGCCGCGGUAAUUCCAGCUCCAAUAGCGUAUAUUAAAGUUGUUGCAGUUAAAAAGCUCGUAGUUGAAUUUCGGGAUCAAUAUUUCGGUCAUGCCGUUGGUAUGCACUGUUAUCAUUGAUUUCUCACCUUCUAAAGAACCGUAAUGCCAUUAAUUUGGUGUUACGGGGAAUUAGGACUGUUACCUUGGAAAAAUUAGAGUGUUUAAAGCAGGCUCACGCUUGAAUACAUUAGCAUGGAAUAAUGAAAUAGGACAUCCGAUUCUAUUUUGUUGGUUUCUAGGAUCGAUAUAAUGAUUAAUAGGGAUAGUUGGGGGCAUUAGUAUUCAAUUGUCAGAGGUGAAAUUCUUGGAUUUAUUGAAGACUAACUACUGCGAAAGCAUUUGCCAAGGAUGUUUUCAUUAAUCAAGAACGAAAGCUAGGGGAUCGAAGACGAUCAGAUACCGUCGUAGUCUUAACCAUAAACUAUGCCGACUAGGGAUCGGGUGAUGUUAAUUUCUUAAUGACUCAUUCGGUGCCUUACGGGAAACCAAAGUGUUUGGGUUC